Molecule: ribosomal RNA, 253 nt
Filed under: uncultured bacterium
Lineage: Bacteria
Description: partial 16S ribosomal RNA
Rfam family: Bacterial small subunit ribosomal RNA
Source: RNAcentral
UACAGAGGUCCCGAGCGUUGUUCGGAUUUAUUGGGCGUAAAGGGUGCGUAGGCGGCGGAGUAAGUUGGGUGUGAAAUCCCGGGGCUUAACCUCGGAAUGGCAUUCAAUACUGCUUCGCUCGAGUACUGGAGAGGAGGCUGGAAUUUACGGUGUAGCAGUGAAAUGCGUAGAUAUCGUAAGGAAGGCCGGUGGCGAAAGCGAGCCUCUGGACAGUUACUGACGCUGAGGCGCGAAAGCGUGGGGAGCAAACAGG